This 75-nucleotide transfer RNA is filed under the name Equus caballus (horse). It matches the Rfam family "tRNA". Rfam says of the family: Transfer RNA (tRNA) molecules are approximately 80 nucleotides in length. Their secondary structure includes four short double-helical elements and three loops (D, anti-codon, and T loops). Lineage: Eukaryota; Metazoa; Chordata; Mammalia; Perissodactyla; Equidae. The record is from Rfam by way of RNAcentral.
GCCCUGAAGGCCUAGUGGUUAAAGUUUGGCGCUCUCACUGCUUCAGCGGCCCAGGUUCGCUUCCUGGUCAUGGCA